UUACAAUGGAGAGUUUGAUCCUGGCUCAGGAUGAACGCUAGCGGCAGGCCUAAUACAUGCAAGUCGAGGGGCAGCGCGGUAGCAAUACUGGCGGCGACCGGCAAACGGGUGCGGAACACGUACGCAACCUUCCUCUAAGCGGGAGAUAGCCCGGAGAAAUCCGGAUUAAUACCCCAUAGGAUUGUGGAUUGGCAUCAAUCA
RNAcentral lists this ribosomal RNA (201 nucleotides) under Chitinophaga rupis. RNAcentral describes it as "16S rRNA. Bacterial SSU". It matches the Rfam family "Bacterial small subunit ribosomal RNA", at positions 1 to 197 of the family's 1533-position model. Lineage: Bacteria; Pseudomonadati; Bacteroidota; Chitinophagia; Chitinophagales; Chitinophagaceae. The record is from RNAcentral.